Molecule: ribosomal RNA, 362 nt
Filed under: uncultured eukaryote
Lineage: Eukaryota
Description: partial 18S ribosomal RNA
Rfam family: Eukaryotic small subunit ribosomal RNA
Source: RNAcentral
CAAUAGCAUAUAUUAACGUUGUUGCAGUUGAAAAGCUCGUAGUUGAACUUUUGGUAGGAGCGACCUGGCCUUGGGCGCAUGCCCUUGUUUGCCGUGUGUCGUAUCUGGCCAUCCUUUUCUUCUUUUUGGAAGGAAUCUUUUACUGUGAGUAAACUGGAGUGCUCAAAACAAGACGUUUGUUUGGUACAUUAAAGCAUGGAAUAAUAAGAUAGGACCUGGUUACUAUUUUGUUGGUUUGCAUAGCUAGGUAAUGAUUAACAGGGACAGUUGGGGGUAUUCGUAUUUAAUUGUCAGAGGUGAAAUUCUUGGAUUUAUGAAAGACGAACGACUGCGAAAGCAUUUACCAAGGAUGUUUUCAUUGA